CCUACGGGCGGCAGCAGUGAGGAAUAUUGGUCAAUGGACGAGAGUCUGAACCAGCCAAGUAGCGUGAAGGAUGACUGCCCUAUGGGUUGUAAACUUCUUUUAUAAAGGAAUAAACUGAGGCACGUGUGCCUUUUUGCAUGUACUUUAUGAAUAAGGACCGGCUAAUUCCGUGCCAGCAGCCGCGGUAAUACGGCGGGUCCGAGCGUUAUCCGGAUUGAUUGGGUUUAAAGGGAGCGUAGAUGGGUUGUUAAGUUAGUUGUGAAAGGUUGCGGCUCAACCGUGAAAUUGCAAUUGAUACUGGCAGGCUUGAGUACAGUUGAGGUAGGCGGAAUUCGUGGUGUAGCGGUGAAAUGCUUAGAUAUCACGAAGAACCCCGAUUGCGAAGGCAGCUUACUAAACUGUGACUGACACUGAUGCUCGAAGGUGUGGGCAUCGAACAGGAUUAGAUACCCUGGUAGUC
RNAcentral lists this ribosomal RNA (460 nucleotides) under uncultured bacterium. RNAcentral describes it as "partial 16S ribosomal RNA". It matches the Rfam family "Bacterial small subunit ribosomal RNA", at positions 338 to 795 of the family's 1533-position model. The record is from RNAcentral.